RNA transcript from Pseudopipra pipra, 5033 nucleotides. It is a transcript of the gene named prostaglandin reductase 2, with no coding region annotated. The transcript is spliced from 13 exons. Lineage: Eukaryota; Metazoa; Chordata; Aves; Passeriformes; Pipridae. The record is from RefSeq and is a predicted model, not a curated record.
UAACUGAAAAGUGUGUCUUACAGGCAGUCUCAGAAACAAGAAGUUCUAGGAACCAAGCCUAGGACAAACGAACAAACUGGAGCAUUUUAGCAUUGAGGAAUUUAUUUAAUGCUUUUAAAAGGAGUUGUCGUGUGUGUCUGCAAAAAUGGGGAAAGUCAAGGGAGCAAAGGGAUAAGAAUAAAACUGGGCUAAAACAUACUUAUACUCCCAUGCAGAUACUGCUGUUGUGCUGCUUAAUGGUCCUGUUGUACUUAUAGUAUGGGUCAGAUAGUGUGAACUUGGCAUAGAAUGAUGAUGUUAAAACUUGCUAUUGAUUUUUACUCUAUUUGAUGUUAAAGUGUAAAACCAACUCAGAUUGCUUUUGUUUGGAAAAGCUAAAAAAUGCUAAUGUGUGUUGCUUUGUGUUGUCUUUUUAAAAAAACAGUCAAAAGCAUCCUUCAUGUUGGCACUAUGCAUGUAUUGGAAAAGAUUGUGUAUAUGAUACAAAUCCCCUUUAUUCCACUUUUAAAAAAUCUGUUCUCUCUCUCCAAAAGCUUUCCUCAAUUUACAGUGCUAAGGAUGGUGCCUCUACUUAUUUUCUUAAGUCACUUGCGUAUUGUUUAUAAGAGAUCCAGUGUGAAAUUGCUGCAAAGCAGGGAUGAUUAUACAGAGAGUAGUGCUGAAUUCACGGCCUGGGAAGAAUGGAGUGCCAGUGGCUGAAAACUUCCGACUAGAACAAAGUACAAUAGCGGAUACGGUCCAAGCAGGACAAGUGCGUGUUAAAACCCUCUAUCUCUCUGUGGACCCUUACAUGCGCUGCCGAAUGAAUGAGGACACUGGCUCCGAUUACCUCCAGCCCUGGCAGCUCUCUGAAGUUGCUGAUGGUGGCGGUGUUGGGGUUGUGGAGGAGAGCAAGCAUGAUAACUUCGCUGAAGGAGACUUUGUAACUUCCUUCACCUGGCCCUGGCAGACAGUGGCAAUUCUCGAUGGAAGCUUGCUACAAAAGCUCGUUCCACAGCUUGUAAAUGGACGCCUUUCCUACUUUCUCGGUGCAGCUGGGAUCACGGGACUGACGGCCCUGCUGGGUGUCAGGGAGAAGGGACACGUGGCUGUGGGUGCAAAUCAGACAAUGGUGGUGAGCGGAGCAGCCGGUGCUUGCGGCUCUUUGGCUGGCCAGAUUGGCCGUCUGGAGGGCUGCUCUAGAGUGGUGGGAAUCGCUGGCACAGAUGAAAAGUGCUCCAUUUUGGUCCAAGAAAUGGGGUUUGAUGCUGCUAUCAAUUACAAGAAGGGAAAUGUAGCAGAACAGCUACGUGAACUCUGCCCAGGCGGUGUGGAUGUUUACUUUGACAAUGUUGGUGGAGACAUCAGUGAUACGGUUAUAAGUCAGAUGAAUCAGAACAGCCAUAUCAUCCUGUGUGGACAGAUUUCUCAAUAUAACAAAGAUGUGCCUUAUCCUCCUCCACUGCCUCCUGACAUAGAAAAAAUACAGAAAGAAAGGAACAUCACAAGGGAAAGAUUCUUAGUGUUGAACUAUAUGGACAAACAUGAAGCUAGUAUAUUACAACUCUGCCAGUGGAUCCAAGAGGGUAAACUGAAGGUCAGAGAGACCAUGGUAGAAGGCUUAGCAAACAUUGGUGCUGCUUUCCAGUCCAUGAUGAGUGGAGGCAAUAUCGGAAAACAGAUCGUCGCAGUUUCUAAGUAAAAGUCACUGGUUUGAGAAAAAUAAUUGCACUCUGUCUCUAAUGGUAACAGACAGAGAAUCUCAAAACAGGCUGCCUAAUGACAGAGGUGAUGUUGCAGACACUUGAUUUUCUGUUCCCUCAGUAACUUCUCUUGGCUCUGAAUUUUUAGUCUAACAAUGCUCUUUUACCAUCUCAGUGGGGAAACUUGAAAAAUGAGCAGUCAGCUGAACUGUCCACAGAAUGGGUUACGCAUUGUCACUACCCAGGUCAAGCUAAGUGGAAUCCAAGGACUGGGAAAGAAACACUGCAAGAAAAUAAUUUUGUGUGCUGUGGAAAGUAAGGGUAUCAGAAAUGCCUAAUAUUGUUGUGAGCAAUAUGAAAAACAGUCCUUUCAUUUCCUAGUGCCUAAGCUGGCCCUGAAAGAAGGAAGCAUGCAGUGAUGGAUGCCAUAAACUUUGAGGAGAAGAGACCUGCAGUAUAGCAUUAGAUUGUCUAAAAUAAUAAUAAAUACCUGUAUAUUUCAGAAGAAAUUUCAACUAUGAACUGUGGUGAAUUUCUAUUGUAUGGAUGUAAGAAAACAAUCUUAACAAUAAGCGUUGUUAUGCAUUUUUCAACUACAAAACUAGAGGACUGGUUCACUUUCAGCUGGAUUGUGAAUCCAGUUUGUGUCCCUAAAAGUGAGAUCAUCACCCAGUAUGCAGUAAGCCAAUCUCACAUACAGAGCCAAGAUCUUUGUUUUUUCAUGUCUGUGCAGAGAUGAGUGCUGGGUGGCAAAUCCAGCAAGCCAGCACACCCUCACUCUGACAGGUGCUCAUUUUUAUACACUUGGAACAAUAACAAAAUUGUCAUUUCCUGUAUAGGCAACCACCUAAAGCUGUAGUCACUGACUUUGCUUUUCCUUGUCUCCAUUUAAAGAUACAGUGCACUGUUAUUUUACCUUGCAUGUUCUAUCAGGAAAAGGCUUAUGUGAAUAAGGGGUGAUCUUAGCCUGUGAGCAGGUAUUUUACUAUAUUAAUGAGCACGAAGUUCUGAUAAAGUUGUUCCUUGGCUUUGUAGUUUGAUUUAUACUGUUCUUACUUUUCCAGUCACGAUUCUUGGUUUCUGUAGGUUUGGUUAUUCCCUCGUUUUUCAUAAGUUCUUUUUCCUGUCCUGUAGUACAAUGAAUUUUUAACCUUCUCAUGGUACUUUUUUCAAGAACACUGGAAUAGAAGCCAAAAUUUUUAUACAGUAACUUCAGUAUGUUGUCAUAGUUGGCAAAUGAAAGACAGAAAGCAAGAGGUGAGCAAAAUUCUAUGAAUUCCUGCAUAUUGACUGUUUAUAGAUGAAUAACUCAGUUGUGAAAGUUAAGCAGUGCAGGCUUGUAUGACUUGGUAAUUGAUGUGUAUAUUAGAAUCAGAGGCAGCAAGAAAUGCAGUGAUCUUGAGCACUGUGUCUAGACUUGGAUUCCUGUCAACUGGAUUUAAUGAGGAGAGUGCUGCUGGGAAUACAGCCUUUCCAAACAGGGUCCCCACCUGCUUGGAAGGAAGUAUACAUAGGAUAGUAUUCAGAGCAAGCUAAUUAAAUACCUGUAUAUUUCAAAAGAGACUUCAGCUAUGAACUGUGAGAAUACUCUGAGUUGAGUUGCUUCAGGGACCUGUGUGUGAACAACUAUACCACUAGAUGUAACCCUAAAAUCUGAUGUUGGAAAAAGAAAAUGAAAACCAGACGCUCAAUGCCUUCUUUGCAAUCUAACACAGGAAGAAUGAAAUGUAAAGAUAGAUGUUGGUAAACAAUAUUCUUAUCCUUUCUACUGCUUAUUUUUAUAGCAAAAAAGUUAAUUUUACAAACAUCUUUACCUUACAAUUAUCAUCCUUACCAUUUCUUGAGUUGCUAGAUGGCCUUGUAGAGGCAUGACAGACCACAGAACCUGUGCACCACAUGCUUCAGUCAUUUAACUAAAUGAACUCAGAUGCUGAAUCUUAAAAAUAUUACUCAGCUAUUGCUGUUAAAGUUAAGCAAAAGUAACACUUUACAUAGGAGGUAAAAUUUCUCUCCUACUUGUUUGAAUUCCAAUAUUAAAUCAACCACUUAAUGUCCAGAGAGUGUCCCAAUACCAGUAAGGUCUCAAAAUCUAAUUUUUCUAAAUAAAUGUCCCACAUUCAUAAUAAUUUAAAAAUGUAAACACUCUUUUAGACAAACAUACAUAUUCAAAACAAUUUUUCUAUAUAGAAACAAAUCAAAAUUCCAAACAAACCACUACAGAAGUAAAAUAGCCAGCAAAAUGGAAUGUCAAGACCUAUACAAUACCGUGUUUAAAAUCCCAAAGAAAUUAUAGGGUCUCUUAGGGCCUGGGCUGAGUGUGGCAUCCACGCAGAUGAAUGAAUAGUUCCCAAAGGAGGUAGUGUGGAUGUAAUGGAAAGAGCCAUCUUUACGCCAGGCAGAGUAUUUCCUAACAAAAUAAAGUGGAAAUAUUGCUGUUAGGAAAGCCUGUAGCAAUGACAACAGUGACCUGCAUAGUAUAAACGCAAGAUGCCUUGCAACCAUUAGAUCUAGCUCCUUCUUGUUACUGCAGUAGGCUCUUAAAAGUCAAUGGCAUUGAAAAAUCUGUACUUCAAAGAAGAUGCAUUACAUGGGUUAUGUGUUAAGACAAGCAGCAAGUUAGCACACAAACAUUUAAAAAAACGUUAGCACAAAUAUGCUUUCCCUGAGCAACACAGUACUUUUUUAUGGAUAAAGGAUAGGCCAGCAGUGUACAACAAACAGGUGAGAUGACAGAACAGCAGGAUCUUACACAAUUCUUAAUUAAAGGAGAACUACAAAUUAAAAAUAAAAAUUGUCCUGUGUUUAUCAUGGUAUCCAAAAGAAUUUUUCCUUGCUCACCUAGAGCAUAUCAGGGACAUCAAGUCUUGUCUCCAUUAUUUUGUUAGAUUUCUCUUAAGUUACUCUCAUGUAGAAUAAUCAGCUCUUGGCUAAUGGAAUAUGAUAUUGAAGCAAAGAAAUGUUGAACUUUUUCAGUUGUUUUCCAAAAGAUGGAAAACAGAGACACUACAUUAAAUCUUAUAAAUAGUAAAGAAGGCAGCAUUUCUCUUUGCUGCUUCUUUUUUAUUUCUUGAUGUAGAAAAUCUUACCAGUUCUCUUGGUAAUGUCAUUAUCAGGUCAGUGGAAUGUCAUCAGAGUUCUUUGUUCAAAGAGUAAGAGGAGAGCAGAAAAAGGGUUGCUAUUCUUUUGCACGUUACUGAAUAUUAAUUGAACUCUUGAAUCUUAAUCUUCAAAUACUCUAAGAAAGAACUGUGAAUAGGGGAGGACUUAAAAGAUGUCAACUAAUUCCACCUUGUUUUUUUCUCCUGUGCUUUUAUCCUAAUAUUGGUUACAAUAAAUACAUAUAAUAAUGUA